This 252-nucleotide ribosomal RNA is filed under the name uncultured bacterium. RNAcentral describes it as "partial 16S ribosomal RNA". It matches the Rfam family "Bacterial small subunit ribosomal RNA", at positions 524 to 776 of the family's 1533-position model. The record is from RNAcentral.
UACGUAGGGUCCGAGCGUUGUCCGGAAUUAUUGGGCGUAAAGAGCUCGUAGGCGGUUUGUCGCGUCUGCCGUGAAAGUCCGGGGCUCAACUCCGGAUCUGCGGUGGGUACGGGCAGACUAGAGUGAUGUAGGGGAGACUGGAAUUCCCGGUGUAGCGGUGAAAUGCGCAGAUAUCGGGAAGAACACCCGUGGCGAAGGCGGCUCUCUGGGACGGUACUGACGCUGAGACGCGAAGGCCAGGGAGCAAACGGG